RNAcentral lists this transfer RNA (71 nucleotides) under Deronectes bicostatus. RNAcentral describes it as "tRNA-Lys". Lineage: Eukaryota; Metazoa; Arthropoda; Insecta; Coleoptera; Dytiscidae. The record is from RNAcentral.
CAUUAGAUGACUGAAWGUAAGUAUUGGUCUCUUAAACCAAAUUAUAGUAWAUUAACAAWUACUUCUAAUGA